GACACACACCUCACAGCCCUGAGGACCAGAGACAUCACAUCAGCUGGGCUACACACACCUCACAGCCCUGAGGACCAGAGACUCCACAUCACCACAGGACACACACCUCACAGCCCUGAGGACCAGAGACUCCACAUCAGCUUAGCCGCUGAACCACAUCCCAGGACACUAAAACACACAUCAGCACAGGGAUGAAUGGGAGCAGAGAGGUCUUUGGGGUCACGGCAUCCUAAUGAAGCUACCGCUCAUGAAGAAGGACAUGACUGCUAGGCCUAGUGUUUUCACCCACCAUCUCAAAUAAGAACACAUUAAAGGGGAGGACAUGACUGCUAGGCCUAGUUGUUUUCACCCACCAUCUCAAAUAAGAACACAUUAAAGGGAAGUCUCAGUUCUGUCUCGCUGCUGCUGUGUGUGAUGUACAACUAUCAGACGUGAAGUGCUCAAGCCAGAAAUGUCAAAUCUGAUGAGUUCAUUUUUUUGUAUUCUGAGAUAAUAUGGUGUUU
This is a long non-coding RNA of Clupea harengus (Atlantic herring), 503 nucleotides long. Lineage: Eukaryota; Metazoa; Chordata; Actinopteri; Clupeiformes; Clupeidae. The record is from Ensembl.